Molecule: non-coding RNA, 310 nt
Organism: Arachis ipaensis
Lineage: Eukaryota; Viridiplantae; Streptophyta; Magnoliopsida; Fabales; Fabaceae
Source: RefSeq, a predicted model, not a curated record
AAUAGGUUAGACGGAACCUUGAACAAGCUAAGAGCUUGGUGCAAGCUGUGAUCAAGAGGGAGGAGAAAAAGAGAGAAGUAAUGGAUAAUGAAGUUAUGCUGCAGAGGAUACAAAUGAAGUAUAAGCAUGAAACCGAAUUUUUGGAAGACAGCUUAGCUCUCUCAAGACUCGCUCCCUACUCUUCAAAGUUUGUUUCAAGUGAGGAGGAGUUCUUUGAGUCAGAUAUGAUGACUAGCCAUCCUCAUUCAAGGCCUUCAGUAGUACAGAUUCAUCCUUCAUAUGAUGCCAACCCAGCCAUGCUUCUUGCAGU